AUUGGCACCGGCGGCAUGGUGCUGUAAUCCAGCUGCUUUGGAGGUCUAAGCUGCUGGACGGCGUGAGGUUGGAAGCUCUGCCCUCUGUUUCCAGUUGAACUGGGGAAGCCCGGAUUCACCAGGUUAUUUAAGGAGGAGCGAACCGGCCCAGGGCGGAAAAGCAGCAGGCAAAACUCCUACACGGUGAAGUAGUGGGAUAGCGCUAGUGAAUAGGCGACGGUGGGCAUCCCAUCCAACAUAGUACGCAGUUCUUU
RNAcentral lists this signal recognition particle RNA (254 nucleotides) under Stegodyphus mimosarum. RNAcentral's name for it is "metazoan signal recognition particle RNA". It matches the Rfam family "Metazoan signal recognition particle RNA". From Rfam's summary of the family: The signal recognition particle (SRP) is a universally conserved ribonucleoprotein. It is involved in the co-translational targeting of proteins to membranes. Lineage: Eukaryota; Metazoa; Arthropoda; Arachnida; Araneae; Eresidae. The record is from Rfam by way of RNAcentral.